RNAcentral lists this long non-coding RNA (41307 nucleotides) under Gossypium barbadense (sea-island cotton). RNAcentral describes it as "long non-coding RNA (GBAR_LNC013164)". Lineage: Eukaryota; Viridiplantae; Streptophyta; Magnoliopsida; Malvales; Malvaceae. The record is from RNAcentral.
AUUACGGACCCUGAAAAAAUAAGAGAAAUACUUAACAAAUUUAAUGACUUCCAGAAGAUACGUACCAAUCCUCUGCUUAAUUUGCUUGUAAGCGGCCUUGUUAACCUCGAAGGAGACCGAUGGAGCAAGCGUAGAAAAAUCAUAAACCCUGCAUUUCAUCAAGAUAAGUUGAAGGUAUAGAAUAGUGAUGGGUAAUCAGACUUUACAGAAAACAUCAUACUUAAACCAAUGCUUUUCUGAUUUAGAAAUAAUUGGAUGCAGAAUAUGUUGCCAGCAUUUUAUCAAAGUUGUAGUGACAUGUUAAGCAAAUGGGAGAAGAUGGUGUGUACAGAAGGAUACAGUGAGUUAGAUGUGAGGCCUUAUCUCGUAGAUUUGACAAGAGAUGUGAUUUCCCGAUCUGCUUUUGGAAGCAGCUUCGAAGAAGGCAAACGAAUUUUCCAAUUACUAGAGGACCAACUCGUUCUCACAAUCAAAUUAAUACAAACUGUUUACAUUCCAGGAUGGAGGUAACCGUCAACUUAAUUUACUUGAAAAAGGUUGCAAAUCUUGGAAUUGGCUAAAUUCGUGUUUGUUUUCUUGAAGGUUUUUGCCAACGAAGACAAACAGGGAGAUGAAGAUGAAACACAGAGACAUAAAAGAGUCGCUUAGGGAAAUGAUAAAGAGAAGGGAGAAGGCAAUUAAAGCAGGGGAAGAGAGCAAUGAGGACUUGUUGGACAUACUUGUGGAAUCCAAUAUCAGAGAAAUGGAAGCAAAGAAUAUGGGGAUGAGCAUUGAGGAUGUGAUUGAGGAAUGCAAGCUGUUUUACUUUGCUGGCCAAGAGACCACUUCGGUCUUACUGGUGUGGACUAUGGUUUUAUUAGCAAGGUAUCCCGAUUGGCAAAGUAAAGCAAGAGAGGAGGUUUUGCAUGUUUUGGGUGACAAUAAACCUGAUGCUGAUGGCCUUAAUCGUCUCAAAGUUGUAAGUCCCUAGCAUGUCUUUUGAAGGUCCGAUCAAUGAGGUCGACAACUCAAAAACUUUGUUUCUUUUUUCGCUAAUUCUACAGGUAACGAUGAUAUUGUACGAGGUUCUAAGGCUGUACCCACCGGUGGUUGAGCUAGGACGUUCCGUUCCAAAAGAAAUAAAACUGGGGAAUUUGUUGUUACCAGUAGGAACAGAAGUUUCGGUUCCGAUCCUGCAGAUCCACCAUGACAAAGAUCUUUGGGGUAACGACGCACGGGAAUUUAAGCCAGAGCGGUUCGCGGAAGGGGUUUCCAAAGCAACAAAGAGUCAAGUCACGUUUCUGCCAUUCGGAUGGGGUCCUAGGAUCUGUAUUGGCCAAAAUUUUGCUUUGAUGGAAGCCAAAAUGGCGAUGGCUAUGAUUCUCCAACGCUUCUGGUUCGAGCUUUCCCCUUCCUAUGCUCACUCUCCUUACAGCAGGGGAACUCUUCGUCCACAGCAUGGUGCACAGAUAAUUUUACAUAAACUUGGCUGUAAUUGAAUUGUUAUGUAAACAAAUCUUUGUGAAAACAUAGCGUUUUAGUGUAUCGUCAAAGUCCGGUGUCUGUAAUGGUACAAAUUCGAUGCAUGAAUAGUAAAUUUUGAGAUGUUUGGUGAAGUCCGAAAUAAUAUGCAGAAAUUGAGCGUCUAUGGUGGACAUAGUUGAGGGACUAAUGUGGUAAUUAUCAAUCAAAUAAUUCGGUACAAAGACUUGUAUGGAAAUUAAAGCAGGGGGAGUUGAAAAUGACUACUCUGCUUUGGGCAUCAAUUUAGAAAGAUUUAAAGUACAACUGUGUUAUCAGUUAAGGGAUUUGUUUUAAAGAGGGAAUGACAAUUAAACCUCAUGGUUUAUUUGUGCAAGGGAACCGAUGAUGGGAUGAUUAUUCUUAGUGGUAAAAAAAACCAUUAUGGAGGUUAUUACACUUGUUAUCAUCAGCUUAAAAUUCGAAUGGGUUCAAGUCGGAUUAUAUCGAGCUUGUAAGAUGAGUUCACGGACCAAGUUUGCAUAAUAAAAUACCUAAAUGAAAAAAAAUUCUAUUUUAGAGGGACGAGAGCCCCUAUCAACUCCCGGCUCAGCCACUAAACAAUACCUAUAUCAUAUAAAUAAAUACCACCAUCUAAAAGACUCAAAGAAAAACACUCAACAAAGGAUAAAUAGAUAGAUGUUGGAUAAGUGUCCAAAAUAUGAUUUAAGUGAAGAUACAUGUGGUAGGUGUUACGGAAAUGUGAAGACAAGAAUCCCACUAACGUAUGGGAUGUGUGCAGUUGAAUGUAGGGAGCAAAAAGAGGAGUGAAUCAUUUUGGUAACAUUUGGACAAGAAACAUAAUGAACAAAAUGGAAGGAGAGGAAGCUAGUAAAAGAAUUUUUUUGGGUCAUAUAAUUUGUUCAUUUUGGAGUUGAAUUAUAAUUUUUUUAUAUAUUAUUUUAAAAUUUUAAGGAGUUAAAACAAAAUUAUUUUAUUUUCAGAUGGUCAAAGUAGAGGUGAUAAUGGGUUGGGCUAUUCGGCCCGGCCUGACGAUUCACUCGAAAAAUAGGAGGGUUUAGGUAAAAAUAUAGGCUCGAAAUAGGGAUUUGAGCAAAAAAAGAGUCCCGUUUAGAAAAUGGGCCAGGCCUCGGGUAAAAUUUUUUGGGCCCAAGCCUGACCUGAAUUAUAUAUUAAAUAUAUUUUUUAAUUUUUAAUCAAAUAUACUUUUUUUUAUUAAUUUGGUUAUUAUUUUAGUUCUAAUUUGUUUCAAUUUUAAUAUAACCACUUUUUAUUAUAUUUUCAAUUUGUGUAUUGUUUUAAGAAUUGUUUUAGUCUCAUUUUUUUAUUUAUUUUUUGUUUUAAUAAUUGUUUUAAAAAUUUUUAUUUAAUGAAAUAAGCUAAAAAAAUUAAUAUGGGCUUGGCCAGGCCAGGCUCGGGCCUAGUAAUUUUCUUUUGGGCCGGACUUAGAUAAAAUUUUAAGCCCAUAUUUUAAAUUGGGUCCUAACCUAAAAAAUGAACCUAAAAUUUUAUAUGGGCCCGACUUGGCCCUUGAUUACCUUUAGGUCAGAGCUAUCCUCGUUUUGCAUUUCUUUGAGAUUCAGCCUUAUCUACUGUGAUUGCCCACUCAAUUGAGGGUUGAGUAGAAAGAUUUGGUGAAGCAAGCUAAGCUAUCAAUCAAGGUUUGCAUAAUUAUUUAAAUGUAAUUCUAAUAUUAAAAUAAUUUUUUUAUUAAUAUAGUAUCAACAAGCAUUAAAUGUAAUGAUCAUAUACUAUUACAUUUUAAAGAAGAGAAAACAUGUUUGAACUUUAAAAACCACGUUACUAAAAACAUUAUCACAAACCUUGAAAUAUAAAAAAUAAUUUUUUUAAUAUAAUAAAAAAUUAAUUUUAAACCCGAGCUGAAUAAAAUUCUAAUUUUAGUUAAUGAUACGAACAACAAAUCAAUAUUCUAAGCCCGAGCCCUGCUCAUUUUUUUAAUAAACACCAAAAAUUUAUUUUGAAAAUAAAAAAUAAAAAAAAUAUUUUAAAAAUAUUUUAAAAAUAAAAAAAAUUAAAAAUAAAUAUUUAUUAUAUAUUCAGGCCGGGCCGGGCUAGCCUUGGGCUAAAAAAAUGGUGCCCGAGGCCCGGCCCAUUUUCUAAAUAGGCCUCAUUUUUUGUCCAAACCCAUAUUUUGGGCCUAUAUUUUUACCCGAACCUCUCAUAUUUUGGGCGGACCGUCGGGCCGGACCGGGCCGCCCGGCCAUGAACACCUCUAGGGCAAAGUCACUCAAUGAAUGCAUGGAAAGAAAUAUUGCAACUUGGUGACAGCUUUUGUUGGAGUUAUAUGCUUUUUUUUACAUAGUGGAACUUUCGGUGGAUUUUCAAGUUUCAUGAACUUUAUACCCUAGGCUUUACGUGAAAAAAAUCAUUGGACUUAAAAGUCUACCAAAAGUUUCACUAUAAUAAAUAAAUAAAUAAAUAACAUUGCUACAAGACUACAACAUAAAGUUACAAUAAGAGCUUAUAACUCAACAAAGGCUAUCAAUAAAUAAUCUCAAGCAAGCUAAAGAGAAAUGUUGAGAGUACCACUCAAAUAGUGAUUGACUUUAAAAAUUGAAAACCCGAAGUUAUUGUUGACACCAUUUUUUGGAUGAAAAUGUGUCGACUUGGGUUUUGAAAAUGAAAACGAAAACGAGAGUCGCCACCAAUCCUUUUUGAUAAGGUGUGACUGGGUCACCUUGAAAAGUGGUUGUUUUUAAUAAACGAUUUGAUUUUAUUAAAACAACAGUUUUGGUCCACGAAAUUCAGAAAAAUGAGUUCGGGAGUCGGUUACGCACGAGGAAGGAUUAGCACCCUCGAUACGCCCAAAAUUGGUACCUAGUUGAUUACUUAAUGUCUUAAUGUCGAAAAUUGAAAACUUUGGAGAAUUUUAAACAUACGAUCCUUGUAUUAAAACGUUAAAAAUUUUCAAGAAAAUGGGAUAUUUCACGUUAUUCGAUAAAGAGAAUCAUAUCCUAGUAAGUUAGGACACAAUAUCUCGAAUUUCCGAUAUCAUUUAAAACUUGAGUUUGAAAAGAUUCGUGUAAUAAAGUUUAAAAUAAUAUUCAAUUGUUUAAAUCAAAUGAAGAAAUCGCAACCCAAUACGUUAGGGCACAAUUUCUCAAAAUAUUAAACAUUGAAUAUUGCAUUUAUUUCGAAAAAUCCUCAUCUCGAGAAAACGUGUCACAUCCAAUGCAUUAGAAUACAACGUAUUGAAUUCUCGAUAACGAGCUUUUUCUCAUUUUUUAAAAGAGUAAUCUCGAUUAUUUAGGUUCAACGAAGAAAAUCAAAACCCAAUACGUUAGGGCUCGAUUUUCUCAAAGAUUCCAAAUACCGAGUAUUACUUAUAUUUUUAAAAUUUCUUUUUUGAAAUCCGAGUAAAAAUGAAUGCAAAAUAAUAAAUGAUGACAAUGUAAAUAAAAUGAUACAAGCAAAACAAUAAACAAUAAAAAUAAUCAUACGGGCAAGGUAACAAAUAAUUAGGAACUAAAGAAAGAGAACAAACAAUAAUAAACAUGCAAAUAAAUGAACAAAAUUAACAACAUGAUGCAAAUAUGAAAGAUAUAUAAGCACAUAUAUAUACAUAAAAUAAUGAGAAUAUGAAAAAAUGUGUGUAAUUGGACAUGUUUCGGAAUUAUUAUACAUUUAAAAAUCAUGUAAAUGUGUGUACAUACAUAUAUACAUAUAUAAUAAUCAUUAAAUAUAUAAAAAUACAUAUGUGUAGGUAUAUAUGAGUCAUAAAAUGUAAAGAAUAUAUACAAGAUAUAUUUUGAACGUAUAAAGUAUAUGUAAAUGUAUAUAUAUAAUAAAGGUGUAUGAAAGCAUAUUUUAUAUACGUGUAUUUAUAAAAUGUAUAUAAAUGUAUAUUGAUUUACCAAUACAUAUGGAUUUAUAAUUAUAGAAUAUAUAUAAAAUAUUUACAUAUAUACGUUUAUGCAUAUAUAAAAGUAAGUUAUUAUAAAAUAUGAGCAAGCAGAAUACAUAAAUAUAUAUACAUAAAAUAAAAAUGAAGAUGAAAAUAAUAUAAAACUACUUAAUAUAUUAAUAUAAUAGUAACAAAUUAAAAAAACAGAAAAUAAAGCUAAUAAUAAUUAAUAAUAGUAGUAAUAAUUAUAGCAGCAAUGAUAAUGAUAAUAAUAAUAACACUAAAAAAAUUAAUUAAAUAAUAAAAUUGCUAAAAAGGGAUUAAAUCGAAAUAAAAACAUAAAUACUGGGCGAUUUUGAAAUAAAAAACGGGAAGGACCGAAUUGCAACGCGCGUUGAAAAGGAAAGGGCCAAAACUGCAAAUAAACCACAGCCCCAAAACGCAGCGUUGAAAUGGACCAAGUCGAAAUAAAAAUAAAAUUGCAGGGGCUAAAUUAAAAAUAAGAGAAAAUAACGAAAAAUGAUCAAAUUGUAAUACGCUGCAAAAUCAGGGGGACUGCACGCGCAAAUAGCCCAAAAACUGAAAACACGCGGAUCCUCCGGGUCGGGUCGGGUCGGGUCAGGUCGACGUGCGGAUCCCCUUUGCUAAAACGGCGUCGUUUCAUGUUUAAUAUAAAUACUAAAAAAAGCUAAAAAAAACAGUUUCAUCUUUUUUUAAAAAAAACAGAGAGAAAACUCUCUCUUUUUCCCUCAGGUCCGGCCAUGGUCCGGCUUGGGAUUUCCGACGAGUCUCCGCCGCAAAGCCACCGUGUGUGGCGGCCGGAGGUUCAAAAUCAGACCUUUUUGGUCCUUUUUUAAAGUCCAUGGCCUCCAAGCCACAGAUCCGGGGCUGAAUCUCCUGAAUCGAAAGCCGAAGACCCAAAAAAUGGGGUGAAAUCCUUCGCCUUCCUCCCCCUUCCGGCGCUGCGCAGGUAAGGUUUUUUUUAACUCCUUUUUUACUAUCUUUAUUUAUAUAUAUACAUGAAGAGAAAAGAGAGCAAAAUAAAUAAAUAAAUAAAAACUUCAAAACUGAAGAGAAAAAGACCUUGAAUCUGCCUUAUUUAUUUUCUUUCGGUUGAAUCUGUUUUUGUUUGUUACAAAAGUUUCCAGGGAAGAGAAAAAAAAAGAGAGUUACAUGCUUGGCUUUUAUAGCCGAUAUUAAUUUCUAUUUUUUGUUUUCUUUUUCCUUUCUUUUCUUUGGCUGUUGCGUGUUUGCUUCCUUAUUGCAGGGUGAUUGACGGGAGUGGUUGGCGACAGAGUCGGUGGCCACUUGCACUGAUGAAGCAGCGGUGGCGGCGCUAGGGUAGGCUAGGGACGGCGGCAGUACUAGGGUUUCAGAAAACUGAAACCCUAGUUUGACAAAUUGGUUUCGGGCCUGUUGGGCUUUAAAUUAUGGGCUUUGUAAUUGGGUUUUGGGUUUAGGUGAUUUGGGUUUAGGUGGUAUGGGCCCGGGUCAAAUUUUGGGUAAUGGGAUUGGGGCAAAAUUGGGUUGUACAGUUAUAAUAUCCCAAACGAAAUCAAACUAUAAACAUUAAAUUUUUCGAGUCUUCUAGAUACUGUAAAAAAUUCAGCUCCAACGGACACCAAAUGAACCUAUGAUCGAAGAAAAUACGAAGACUAGUCUGGCUAAAUCAAUCUGCCAAACUUACUUUUUAUCUUAUCUUUAAUUUGCUGUGAAAUUCAAAACUACGUGUAAUACUCAAUUUAUGCUCGACCCAUUUUGUUAAAACAAAUAAAAAAGAAAAGAAAAACAAAAUAUUUAAAUUUAGCCCAAAUGUCCAUUUACACAGCCCAAUUACAAUUGCAAAUAAAAAAAACUAAAACUAAACCCGAUCCUAAGCAUCAGCCCAAAUUCGACCCAUGCCCAAAACGAAUUCAGAUGCAGAAACCCUAGCCCAGCCUUAAUGCAAGCAAAAGUCGAAAGCCCUAAUAGUUGGUGCGCCGCUCCUGUAACAGCCCGAUUUUGGGCCUAGUCGGAACAGUGGUUUUGGGACCACAAAUCCGACGAGAAAAAAAUGUAAUGGCCCGAAUUUUCAGAGGUGUCAGAACGGUGAUUCGAGAUCACUAAAUUCGACAAAUGGGUAGAAAAUAUUAUUAAUUUAGUAAGUAUAAGUUAAAUGUGAAGUUAGGAAAAUUUUUGAAAUGGUGAAUAGUACACUAGAAAUAAAUAUUAAAAUAAUUAGAAUCGAAAAUGAGGUAUCGAGACCUCGGGGAUUUUAAACCGAGCCAUAAAUAUUUUUAUAAAUAUUUAUGUAGUCUUAAAAAGUUAGUAUUAAAGUUUCGUUAAGAAAUUUUAAAGUUCCGAUAAUUAAUUGAACAAAAAGGACUAAAUUGUAACAAAUACAAAAUUAUGAGAAAUGAUUAAAUAGUUUAAAUGAUAAAAGGAAGAGGGCUUAAAAGGUAAAUAGACCCAAGGUCUAUUUGGGCUGCACGGCAAAGGCAUGAAAUCAGCAACAAAGUAAGGAGAAUUAAGGGCAAAAUUGGAAUAUUGCAAAAUUUACUUAAUAAAGUUAGGACCAAAGUGGAAUUAUCUAGAUUUCUCUUUAUUUUUCUGCAUUAUCAUCAGCAUAAACACCAUAGAAGGGUUUUCUUAAGCUGGUUCUUCCUAUUUUUACUGCAGGUAAGUUCAAUUCUUGAUUAUUUCUUGAAAAUUUUGUGUUUUUGUGACUUUUACAACUAGGCCCACUUAUUGUAUUCAUUAGUUUUUGAUUCUAUGAAAGAAGUUGAAAGUUGCUAUGAAUACAUGCUGGAAGUAUAUGAUGAUUUAGCAUGGAAUUAGAGCUUUAAAUUGUUCAUAUGCUGAUUUAUUGAAAGAAUUGAAUAGAAAGUGAAUGUUUGGGACCUAAUAGUAAAAGAGUUUGAAGAUAGAGUUAUAUGUGGAAAUUCUGAAUUUCAAUAGUUGUGAAACAACUUAUAAUGUCUAGGUUAAGUAUUAAUUGAGAAAAUUAAAUUAAUUGAGGGGUUAAUUGAGAAAGGACCGAAUUGUAUAAACUGUGAAAUUUGGGGCAAAAAGGAAAUCAACAUUUUACACUAAAGCAGUUUUGGACAGCAGCAGUAGUAUAACUUUGAAAAAUCACCAAAAAUUUUGAGAAUUGAAUUAGAGGGUGAAUAAAAUAUAAAAUUAAAGCUCCUUGAAUCUAGUUUCUCAUAGAAGAAACGGUGUAAGCAAUGGAAUUGUAAAUCAUGAGAUAUAAUAAAUUUUGUGAGACAAUGUCAUAAUGAUUUCGGGUUCCCCUAUUCUGACUUUGGAAAAUCAUCAAAAAAUUAAGAAAAAUAUGAGUUAUAAUUUAUAUGAUUACAAUCCUUAAUGAGUCUAUUUUCAAAGAAAAUAAACGGAAAUAUCAUCCAAAUUCUGUACAAUUAUAUAAUUCAUUUUUAGUGAAGAGUGGUCGAAACUGUCAGACAGCGAAAUAGGGGGAACUUUAAAGAAUAAACUGUACUAUUUGGCUGAACCAAAAAUUCUGAAAAUUUUAUGGUAAGAAGGUAUGUGAGUCUAGUUUUAAGGAAAAUUAACGGAUCUUAAUUUAGAGCUCUGUAGCUCUAGAUAAAAAUAAUUUAGUGACUCUGACUCAGAUAAAUAGCUUUGAAUGUACAUGUGAGUGAAUAGUGAAAUUAUAGCUAGUGUUGUUUAAGUGUGUUAUACACAUUAAGGAUAUGGAAUGGAGAGGAGGAGGAGGAGGAAAAAUUGGGAAAUAUAUGAAUGAUUUGUGUAUAAUUGGUCAUAUGCUUAAUUAUAAUUGAUAAACGAUGAAAUAGAAAUGAUGCAUAUAUUUGUGCAGUAUUGGUCAUGGUUUAAGCUCAUGUGGGAAAAUAAAGUUUAUAGUACGUGUGUAUUAUAUUUUUGGUAUAUGAUUUGGCAUUAAGUAAUGUCGUGAAUGGAUAUUGAAUUAACACAUGUUGGAAAGUUUGAUAUAUGAAUAAAUAUUGUGAUCAUGAAAGAGUGUUACAGCUCCUGCCUUCAGCACGCGUCGAGCCUCCGCGCCAAAUCCACGUGAGCCUCCGUACACUCCAACUAGCCUCCGUACCUGCAACAAACAAAAGUAGACAAAACAACAGCAAAGGAUAGGAAGAAAAGGCAGUAAAUAGUGAAGAUUUUUCUGUAAUUUUCUUUGGAUUUCAUUAUGUAUUUUCGGCUAUAAAAGAGCCAUUAGGAAUAUUUGUAAAGGGUUUUUUUUUUACCCUCACACACAAAGAGAAUAUACACGCAUACAAGAUCAAUAUAGAGAAAGAAAUAAAAAUAAAUAAAUACAAAGAAUAGAAAAUCAAGUUUCGAAGGUGAUUCUUUGAAAAAUCCUUUUCGUUUUUCUCAUUUUUCCUUUUUCCUGGAUCUUUUGUUCAUUUCAAGUAAAAAAAGUAUAGAAAGGAAACAAGUUUAGAGGAAGGAGGUUUACCUGGACGCCGGACCUCGCUCGCCUCGUCGAAAUCGAAGGCUGAGAGGGGAUAAAUCGGUUUUGCGGCAGAAGGAAAGGGGGGCUAGGGUUCUUGUUUUAACUUUUUUAAAAAAAAUAGAAAAGGUUGCUAAUUAGGUUUUAAUGGGGGAUUUAUGUGUGUUAAAAAAACGACGUCGUUUAGCGACCUUUGACCCGUGCGGUGACCCGACCCGAGGAAAGGAUCUGCGCGUUUUGGGUCUGAUGGGUUUAUUGCGCAACAAGCCCUUCCGCAUUUGUUUUUCGUUUCAAUUCGGUUUUUAUUUGUUUUUUAAUUGUUUUCUCAUAUUUAGUUCCAAUUUCAAUUGGGUCCAUGAUUAAACGACAUCGUUUUCAUUGAUUGGGUUUGAAGGCCUGGUUUUGUGCGUCUAAAUUGCAGCAAUGGUCCCCCUGAUGUGCAAUAGUUCUCGAUUUAGUCGUCUCCACACUUAUUUCAAAGUCGUCCUUGAGAUUUUGUUUUAUUUUUGAAAUUGUCCUUGUCUUCUUUUAAUUUAUAAUGAUAUUAUUAUUAUUGUUGUUGUUAUUAUUACUAUUAAUAUGGGUAUUGUUAUCAUGUUAGUUUAUAUCUAUUUAUUUACUUUUAUUUUAUUAUGUAUUAUUAUAUAAUGCUUUUAUCAUGUAUCAUUUUAUAUAUUUUCUAUGUUAAUCUAAUAUGAUAUAUAUAUAUAUAUGUAUUUUUGUGAUCUUAUUUUAUAAUACUUUUUUAACCCAUUUAUAUGCCUUUAUGUUUUAAAGAUUUAUAAUAUUUUGUGCAAAACUAUUAUAUAUAUAUAUAGAUAUACAAUUUAUAUUAGACCAUUUUUAUCGUACAUAUACGUAUAUAUAAUUUAUAUUUUGAAACUCUAUUUUAUUAUAUUUUAUGCCUCUAUAUACAUCAUUAUAUGUUUAUUAUUCUUUAUAUUAAACCUGCCAUUUCACUUAUAUAUUUUUAAAACCAAUGUGUAUUAUUCUUUCUUCUUUGUUAUUUUUUAUCUCUUAAAAUAGAUUGAUAAUUCAUUUAAUUUUUGAAUGUUGUAUGACCGAGAUUAUCGUUGCCAUUCUUGUCCAAAUUUAUCCAUUGCUUGUUCAUAUUAUUUGAUAAUUUAUCGCUCACUAGCAUGUAUCGUAAUUUACGAAUUAUCAUUUUGAAUUAUGUACUACCAUUCAAUCGCAUUACAUUUGUUUGGAAAACAUCGAAAUCGUUUUGCACAUAAACCUUCAAAAUGCUUGGUAUCCAAAAUUCUCGAGAGGAUUGUGCCCUAAUUUAUUGGGCUUCAAUUCCCCUUUUUGAUUUUAAAUAACCGAAUACCCCUUUUUCAAUUUGAACAUAGAAAUUCCAAAAUAAAAAAAAACUCAUUCUCGGGAAUUUGAUGCGUUGUGUCCUAACGUAUUGUAUAUGACAUAUUUUUCUCGAGACGAGGAUUUUUCUAACAAAUAAAAAUAAAGGCAAUAUUCGAUAUUUAGGAAUUUUGUGAAAUCGAACCCUAACUUACUGGGUUUUGAUUUUUUCAUUUGACCCAAGUAGGAUAUCCUUCACAAAUGCACAGAUUUUAAAAAAUCAAAAGAUAAACUUAAUUUCGAGGAUUUAAAAUGUUACACUCUGACUUACUGAGUGUGUCAAUUUAUUUCUUUGAAAUAAGUGAGUCUUAUCAUCCAAUUUAUUUUAUUCAAAUUUUCUUUUCCAAGGAUCGUAUUUUAAAAUUUUUUCAAAAUUUCGACAUUAAGACAUUAAGCAAUCAAUUCAGUACCAAUUUUGGGCGUCACGAGGGUGCUAACUCUUCCUCGUGCGUAAUCGACUCCCGAACCAGUUUUCUCAAAAUUCACAGACCUAAAAUUAUUUUCAAGGUGAUCCGAUCACACCACAAUAAAAGAUCAGUGGUGACUCCCAUUCCUAUUUUUAAAAGUCGAUUCCUGUUUUUCAUAUAUAAAAAAAUGGUUUCGACACUACGGUUUUGUUUGUUUCCCUUAGAACAACUUUCAAAAAGUUAAUUUUGAAAAAUGGAUUGAAUUUUCAAAAUAGAUGAUAUUUUUUUGUGUUAAAAUUUUAUUCGUUGUUUGAAAAAAAAAUUUAAAUCAUUUUCUUAGAAUUAUUUUUAGUGAAACAAAUAUAUCAUAAAUAUAUUUGUUAUAAAAUAUUAUAUUAAUAUUUUCUUUUAACAAUUAAAAUAUAUUUUGUGAUAAGGUAAUAUUUUAUAAUAAUUAAUAUCAUAUAUACUUAAUAAUAAAUCAUGUCUAAUUAAAAUUUAAUUUCAAUUAAAUAUAUUAAUAAAGCUACAUUUAAUCAUAUUUUAUAUAAUUAAAAUAUUAAUAUAAAUAUUUUUCAAUAAUAUAUUAAAGAAUAUUUAAAAUUUAAAUUUAUUAUUACUAAGAUUAAUUAUUAAAACAAAAAUGUAAUAUUAAAUAAUUUAUCCAAUGAUAAGUUAUAUUAAUAAUUUAUUAUAUUAUUAAAUAUAAAUAAUUAAAUAUGUAUGUUUAAUAAUAUUAUGUUAUAAUAUUUAUUACUAAUAUUUUAAUAUUUUUAAACAACCAUGUUUUAAAGAUGGUGGUGAUGGUGAUGGUGCAGGCCCCCUUGUUAAAAUUACAAUAUUUUUAAGUGGGAUGCAUGUAAUAUAUUGUUAGGGUUUUAGAGUAUGUGGUCUUUAAAAGGGUUAAAUUAUAUAUUUAUAUAAUAUGAUUAUUGUUUAUAAACAUAAUAUUGUAGAUAAGUUUAUAUGUAUGUCAAUAUGUAUCCUACUCUAAGGUUAAUAUGUAUUUUUUAGAUGUGGGUUUACCUAUAUAAUAGUAUGAAUCCAUCAUGUGGUCUCAUGAAAUAUACAAACACAUAUCGUGCGAACACAAAGUACGAACAAUAAAAAAUACAAAUCAAGACCCAAUUGAAUAAUUGAAUAACGGAUAGGUAAUAAUGAAUAUCAUAACAUUUACUAUCCCCUCUUUUCUAGUGAGUUAUUGUUUAUGAUAAAUUUGCAACAAAUGUUUUUAUCAUUAUUUUGUUGGUAAAUGAUAAUAAGAUUAAACAUUACUUUCUUAAGCUCCUUCAAUUCUUUGGACGUUAGCGAGUAAACUUGAGCUUCAGCAUUCCACAAACACCUUAAUUUGAAGACACAGUUCUCUCAUACUAAAAACGACAUGGACGUUUACCUUGUAAUUAGAGAUUUGGGCUCAUUGUUGGGUUAUUAAUGAUACGGGGAUGGAGAGCUUUAAACUGGGUAUGGUUGGCCCCAAAGAGGCUCGAAACGUGCUUGAGACUAGAGGUGAUCAAGGGCCGGGUUAGGCCCAGUCUAGAAAAAAAAUUAGGCCCAUUUUUUAGAUUUGAACUCGGCUCGGCUCAAAAUAUAAGCUUAAAAAUUUGUCUAAGUUCAGUCCGAAAGAAAAUUGUUAAGCCCAAGCUCGACCCAUAUUAAAUUUUACAACACCAAAAAAGUAUAUUUAAAUAAAAAUAAAAUAUAUAUAUUUAAUAUAUAAUUCGGGCCGAGCUGAACUCGGGCCAAAAAAGUUUUACUCGGGGCUGGUCCGUUUUCUAAACAGACUUCGUUUUUUUUGCCAAAAUCCAUAUUUUUACCCGAAUCUUCCUAUUUUUUGGGGUGUGCCGUCGGGCCGAACUGGGUAACCGAACCAAUGAUCACCUCUGUAAUCACUGAAUUUUGUCCGGGAAUAACUUUCGUUAAAAAAAUUUUAAAAUUAAAAAAAAAUUAACUUUUUUGCUUUUUGACCCCUAAACUUUUCUAAAAUUUCAUUUUAACCCCUAAACUUUCUCAAAAUUACAGUUCAACCCCUAAACUUUUCUAAAUUACAUUUUGACCCCUAAAAUUUCUUAAAAUUACAUUUGGACCCUUACACUUUCUCAAAAUUACGUUUCGGCCCCAAAAUUUUUGCUACAUUUACAAAUUGGUCCUUCUGUCAGAAAAUCCCCAAUAAUCCGGCGGAUUUCGUGCACCUGCCCCACUAUUUCCGGCAGCCGGCCUAGGGCAUGGCCUUCCCCACCUGCUACCUGCAAACAAGAAGCAAAAUCAACUAUAAAAAGGAGUUUAAACUCCAAAAAUCGGACCCCCACCCACGAAAAAAAUAAAAAAAAAAAACUUGAAAGAAAAAGAAAAAAGCUUUGAGAAAGAAAAAGAAAAGGAAAAGAAGAGAGGGGAGAAGGAGAGGCCGACCAUCGGCGAGCCACCGGAGGAGGCGACGGCAGCAGCGGCAUCGACGGCGGCGUAGAAGACCGAACGGAGAAGAAGAAGAAGAAGAAAAAAAAAGAAAGAAGAGAAAGAAAGAAGGAAGAAGAAGAAGAAAGAAACAAAAAAAAAAGAAAAUAUUUUGUAAUAGUCGGCCCGGCCCGACUCGACCUGCACGACCCGUGACCCGACCCGACAGCACCAGCAACCUAGCAGGCCACGGUAGCAGCCCGGCGGCCCAAAGAGUAGCCCAAAAAGAAAAAAAGAAGAAGAACAAAGCAAAAAAAAAAAGCAGGCCAUUUUCAGCAGGCCCAGUGCAGCCCAGCAGACCCAGCGAACCCAGCAGGCCAGGCCCACACGCAAGCAGCCCAACAGAAAAAAAGGGAAAGAAAAAGAAAAGAAAAAAGAAAAAAGAAAAAAGAAGAAGAAGGGGUUCAAUUUGUAUUAUCCGUUCGGCGAAGCUCGUGUUUUGAGGAUUUUUUUUCGGUAAUUUUAUUUUUUAAUUUUAAUUUAAUGCUCGUAUUUUUUUUAAAUAUUAUUAGUAUUUUAUGCAUUUUUAUAUUUUGGCAUUUAUAUUUUUAAUUUAAUUUACUUCAAUUUUUAUUUUAUUUUAUUUUAAAUAAUUUUAAUAAAUGAGGCAACGAAUCGAUUUAACAUAAAAUCGUUGAUUUCAUUGCUAUGUUGGGUGAAUAUCAUCGGUUUGUGUUAAACACGAUACACCCUUUUUAAAAAAAAGAAAAAAAUCGAAAAAAUUCUAAAAUUCUCAUUUUUUUAAAAUUCUCGUGUUUUAAUAGAAUCACGAUUAAAUAUUAAGUUGAAUCGAUUUGGCACUAAUUCGAUGAUUUCAUCUCCAUGUAGGGAUGAAUAUCAUUUAUUCGUGUUAAAUAUGGUACUUCUGAAAAAAAAUCGGGUUUCAAAAAUUUUCGUGUUUUCAAAAAUUCUCAUGUUUCAAAAAUCUUCGUGUUUUAAAAAUUCCAGUGUUUCAAAAAUUUUCGUGUUUUCAAAAAAAAAUUUCUCGUGUUUUUAAAAAUUCCCGUAUAUCGAAAUUUUCUUGUUUUCAAAAAAAAAAUUCCAUGUUUCAUAAAUUUCCGUGUUUUCAAAAAAAAAUUCUUGUUUUUCAAAAAUUUUCGUUUUUAAAAAAUUUGACCGUGUUUCAUAAAUUUUCGUAUUUCAAAAAAACCUCGUGUUUCAAAAUUUUCGGGUUUUUUUAAAAACAAUUCGUGUUUCUAAAAUUCUCGUAUUUUAAAAAAAAUCGUGUUUUCAAAAAAAGAAAAAGUUGUUGUGCUUUAAAAUUAUCGUGUUUCAAUCGGAUCACGAUUAAUAUUAAAUUGAACUCGUAUUUUUGAAAAUGAAAACAACGCGCGUUUAACGAGAUACCAAUUUUGGGCGUCGCGAGGGUGCUAAUACCUUCCUCGCGCGUAACCGACUCCCGAACCUUAAUUUUCUCUGAAUUUUUACGUGGACCUAAAAUUACCUCUUUUUAGAAAAGUUUAAAAAUGAAUUUUUCUUCUAAAAAGAGAAUUUUGUAGGUGUCCGAUCACACCUAAAAAAAGAUCGGUGGCGACUCCUUUUUUUCAAAUAAAAUCGAGAUUCAGUUUUCAAGUUUUUAAUAAUUACUUCGACAAGCGCCCGUGCGCAAAAUUUUUAAGUCGCUACAGCCUCUACUUGAGACAACAGGGUUUUGCAGGGAAUUCUUACAGGUUCGUUUCUGGCGACAAAAAAGAGCUCUUCACUAUAAGCAUACAAACAAGAGCCAAAACUAUGCCUCUUAGUGAUGAUAUUAGGCCUUAUGUUAUUCCUUUUCAACAUCAAACCGUCAACCGGUAUGGUAUGUUUUUUUUAUUUAAUCUGCAAUUUGUGAUAAUUCUUUGUUAUUUAUGUAUGGAAUUUAUUGGGAGGAAAUGCUGGAAAGAAUUCAUUUACGAGAAUUGGUCCAAGAUCAAGGGUGAACAUUACGGACCCUGAAAAAUAAGAGAAAUACUUAACAAAUUUAAUGACUUCCAGAAGAUACGUACCAAUCCACUGCUUAAUUUGCUUGUAAGCGGCCUUGUUAACCUCGAAGGAGACCGAUGGAGCAAGCAUAGAAAAAUCAUAACCCUUGCAUUUCAUCAAGAUAAGUUGAAGGUAUAGAAUAGUAAUGGGUACUCAAGACUUUAAAGAAAACAUCAUACUUAAGCCUAUGCUUUUCUGAUUUAGAAAUAAUUGGAUGCAGAAUAUGUUGCCAGCAUUUUAUCAAAGUUGUAGUGACAUGUUUAAGCAAAUGGGAGAAGAUGGUGUGUACAGAAGGAUACAUUGAGUUAGAUGUGUCGCCUUAUCUCGUAGAUUUGACAAGAGAUGUUAUUUCCCGAUCUGCUUUUGGAAGCAGCUUCGAAGAAGGCAAACGAAUUUUCCAAUUACUAGAGGACCAACUCGUUCUCACAAUCAAAUUAAUACAAACUGUUUACAUUCCAGGAUGGAGGUAACCGUCUACUUUAAUUUACUUGAAAAAGGUUGCAAAUGUUGGAAUUGGCUAAAUUCGUGUUUGUUUUCUUGAAGGUUUUUGCCCACAAAGACAAACAGGGAGGUGAAGAUGAAACACAAAGACAUAAAAGAGUCGCUCAGGGAAAUGAUAAAAAGAAGAAAGCAGGCAAUUAAAGCAGGGGAAGAGAGUAAUGAGGACUUGUUGGACAUACUUGUGGAAUCCAAUAUCAGAGAAAUGGAAGCAAAGAAUAUGGGGAUGAGCAUUGAGGAUGUGAUUGAGGAAUGCAAGCUGUUUUACUUAGCUGGCCAGGAGACCACUUCGGUCUUACUGGUGUGGACUAUGGUUUUAUUAGCAAGGUAUCCCGAUUGGCAAAGUAAAGCAAGAGAGGAGGUUUUGCAUGUUUUGGGUGACAGUAAACCUGAUGCUGAUGGCCUUAAUCGUCUCAAAGUUGUAAGUCCCUAGCAUGUCUCUUGAAGGCCCGAUCUCUGAGGUCGACAACUCAAAAACUUGGUUCUUUGUUUCGCUAAUUCUACAGUUAACAAUGAUAUUGUACGAGGUUCUAAGGCUGUACCCACCAGUGAUUGAGCUAGGACGUUCCGUUCCAAAAGAAAUAAAACUGGGAAAUUUGUUGUUACCAGCAGGAACAGACGUUUCGGUUCCAAUCCUGCAGAUCCACCAUGACAAAGAUCUUUGGGGCGACGCCGCACGGGAAUUUAAGCCACAGCGGUUCACGGAAGGGGUUUCCUAAGCAACAAAGAGUCAAGUCACGUUUCUGCCAUUCGGAUGGGGUCCUAGGAUCUGCAUUGGCCAAAACUUUGCCAUGAUGGAAGCUAAAAUGGCGAUGGCUAUGAUUCUCCAACGCUUCUGGUUUGAGCUUUCCCCUUCCUAUGCUUACUCUCCUUACAACAUGGCAACUCUUCGUCCACAGCAUGGUGCACAGAUAAUUUUACAUAAACUUGGCUGUAAUUGAAUUGUUAUGUAAGCAAAUCUUUGUGAAAAUAUAGUGUUUUAGUGUAUCGUCAACGUCUGUCUGUAAUGGUACAAUUCCGAUGCAUGAAUAGUAAAUUUUGAGAUGUUUGGUGAAGUCCGAAAUAAUAUGCAGAAAUUGAGUGUCUAUGGUGGACAUAGUUGAGGGACUAAUGUGGUAAUUAUCAAUCAAAUAAUUCGGUACAAAGACUUAUAUGGAAAUUAAAGCAGGGGGAGUUGAAAAUGACUACUCUGCUUUGGGCAUCAAUUUAGAAAGAUUUAAAGUACAAAUGUGUUAUUAGUUAAGGGAUUUGUUUUAAAGAGGGAAUGACAAUUAAACCUCAUGGUUGAUUUGUGGAAGGGAACCAAUGAUGGGAUGAUUACUCUUAGUGGUGAAAAAAAAACUAUUAAGGUGGUUAUUAUAGUUGUUAUCACCAGCCUAAAAUUUGAAUAGGUUCAGGUCGGAUUAUAUUGAGCUUGCAAGAUUAGUUCACGGACCAAACUUGCAUGAUAAUAGGUAUUCACAACAAGAUAUCUAUAGUUUCCAACAAAGUCACAUGUGAGAUCGUGCAUUAGAACCGCAUAAACAUGUUUUAUGUUUAGAAUAUGAUAUGUGUCUAUGUGUAUAGAAUCUACCUAAUAUAUCAUAUUAAUGAAUAGUAUCAAUUGCGGAGCCAAAAAAUUAUUUGUGAGGGGUCAGAAUUAAAUUGUAUAUUUUUACAAAAAUAAAAAUUAAAUUUCACUAUUUUAAUAGUUUAUUUAUUUUUAAUUUUUAAAUGAUUAAAUUAAAUUUUAUAAAUUUUUAGGAUCAAAGUAUAAUUUUAUCAUUACUAAUUUAAAAUUUUAUAAAUUAUAAAAAGUUUAUAUGAAAAGUUUUCUAUUUUAGGGUGGCCAAAGCCCCUGUCAACUUCUGACUCGAUCACUUGCGGUUAGUUGGGUAAAGACUCAAGAAAAAUAGCGGUGUGUUUGGAUGGACGGUGCGUUUACUUGCGGUUAGUGUAAAAAUAGCGGUGGCGGUGAGAUUAGAUACUAUAGCAACACUGUAGCGUGAGACAAAAAGUAAGUUAAACGCACUGCACUGCACUUAAUCGUCUAUCUAAACUCACCAUAAGUGUCUAAAAUAUGAUUUAAGUGAAGAUACGUGGGGUAGGUGUCAUGGAAAUGUAAAAAAAAAAAAGAAUCCUACUAAUGUAUGGGAUGUGUACAAUUGAAUGCAGGAGUGAAUCAUUUGGGUAACAUUUGGACAAGAAACAUAAUGAACAAAAUGAAAGGAGAGGAAGCUAGUAAUAAAAGAUUCUUUUGGGUUAUAUAAUUUGUUUGGCAUAUAUUUUUAUAAUAUUUAAAUAUCAUUUUGGAGUUGUUGAAUUAUAAUUUAUUUUUAUGUUUUAAAACAUAAUUAUUCUAUUUUUAGAGGUCAGAGUAGAGGUGAGCAUGAGUCGGGCUACUCGGCUCGGGCUGAAGGCUUGCGCAAAAUGUGAGAGAUUUGGGUAAAAAUAUAGGCCCGAAAAAUGAGUUUAGACAAAAAAAAAUAUAAGGCCCGUUGAAAAAACAGGCUAGGCCUUGGGUAAGGCAUUUUGGCCCCAGACCCGGCCCAACCCAAAUUCACUAAGGGCACGUUUGGUUCGCUGUAUUGGAAUAGAGGCGUAAUGUAAUAGAGGCGUAAUGGAAUAGAGACGUAAUAGCAAAUCAAUUGUUUGGUUGAAUGUAAUGGAAUAGAGGCGUAAUAGUAUUCUUAUAUUUGGUUGAAUGGAAUAGAGUUGUAAUAGCAUAAGGAAAAAAGUUAAAAUGACUAGAAUACCCUUAGCAGAAAUUUGUUUAGAUAAAUGAUUAUUGUUAUUGUUAUUAAAUUUUAAUAAGAUUAUUAAUAUCAGUAAUAAAUAAUUUAAUCAUAUUUUAACAUAAUUAUUAUUAAAUAUAAUUUAAUAAAAAUAUAUAAUUUAAUAAAAUUCUUAAUAUUAAAUAUUCUUAAUAUUAAAUUACUAAAAUCAUAAUAUAUAAUACUAUAAAAUAUAAUUUAACAUAAUUAUUAUUAAAUAUAAUUUAAUAAAAUUCUCAAUAUUAAAUAUAUUCUUAUAUGAAUUUACUAAAAUCAUAAUAUAUAAUACUAUAAAAUAUAAUUUAAAAUAAUUAUUAUUAAAUAUAAUUUAAUAAAAAUAUAUAAUUUAAUCUAAAGUUUGAAUGUGUAUUUACCUAGCAAAAAUCAAUGAACUCUCGUGUAACUAUAACCUUAAUAAUAUAUGAUGUAUAAUUAAUAUUUCGUGACUAAUUAAUAGCAUAGAGAUAAAUAUAGUAAUGACGAAUUUAUAGUAUACGAUUAAAAUGCUAAUAAUUUAUAGUAUACAAUUAAAAUAUUAUAAAUAAAAUAAUAGUAAAUGAUAUAUAAGAUAAAUUAACAUAUAAAUAAUUCAGAUAUGUAAAGGAUAUGGCUGAAUAUGGUUGCUCCAAUAAUAAAGGAUAUAUAAUAUAUCAUGGUGUUGUUUUGUUUAGAUAGUUCGGUAACUUAGGAGGGUAUGUAUGAAGAACACAAGUUGAUGCAGAUAGAAAGACGACAAUAUUACAUGAUUACAAUAUGAUAUAGUAUAUAUAUAUAAUUUAUGGAUUCCUUGCAAUCACGUGGGUUCUCUAGCCAUUUUAUUUAGCAUAUCCAGUGAUAUUAAGAUCCAGAAUUAUAAUACAACUAAAAUCUGUGCACACUUAUGGAUGAUCCAACAAAGCCUCAGUUGGCUUUAGGUUCCAAAUCUUGCAACCCACAAACCAUAUUUGCUGGCACUGCAACAUCAAUCAUCUUAGGAUAUGCCAAGUUAAGAUCUGUUGCACCAACAAAAACAGAGGAGAAAUUGGAAGGCGAUCCGAAAAAACCCAAGGAUGCUUUUUCUUUUCUUUUUUUUUUAUAAUCUUUAUAGACUGGUUAUAUUGAGCAUCAACUUACUUUCCAUGAUGUUUUUGAAAGUCUCUUACAAAAAGGGUAUUCAACAAAUAAUAUAAUCAGACAUAUUGAUAGGACAAAUUGAAACUAGUAUUCUAUGAUCAUAAUAAAGAGUAAUCUUUAAUCAAAUGCGUGAAGGUAUUGAGAUGUCAUGCUUUUUCAUGAUUUCCUGUUUUACCAUGGCGAUGUUCAUUGGAAUAGUCCCAUCCAAGAGAAUCAAACCAAUGCUCAGCAAGAAAUGUUCAAUGCAUAUGUAAUUUUAAUUACAGAAGUUAUAUGCAGCUUAUAUGAGUUCAAGAUCAUAAAAUACUUCAUGGACAAAAGGAAACCCUUUCUUAUCACUGAAAUGAAAAUAGGCACUCUUAAUUUUCUAUUGUCAAAAGUAGCAAGCCAUUUUCCAAAGAAAAGGGAAGAUGGAUGGUUCCAGAAAGAAUACCUCAUCCUUUGUCAAGUGUGGAUUAUAUAGCAUCUCCUCUCCCACAGUGGUUACCUAUAAUCAAUGAGGUUUAUAAAAUCGAGCAAUCAUUUAUAUAUGUAAGAAAUGAUAGGAAUAAAGUUUUAUAUCUUACUGAGAAUCCUUUGUAGUCAUGAGCUGGAUAUAGCAAUGUCUCUUUCGGUAAUGUAAAAAUCUGGAUCCAUGAAACAAAUAAGUCCAUAAAUUUUAUUCAAAUUUUGACAAUUACAAUAAAAUUUUGAGAACUCAAAGAAUGUGACCAUAAAAAGUCCCCUGUCCUUACCUGUGAAUGCACUGACUUGUAGAGUUGCUGUGAACUUCCACCCUGCAAAAUGCAUUAAUCAGUGCUAGUCAAUGGCUACUGAAUGUGGGAGCAUUAGAGAAAAUUAUCUUAAAAACUUAAGUAUAACAAAAUUAGACAAUGACAUCCAGAUGGAAAGAAAUUGCCAGCAUAUAAGACCAGCAUUUAUGUACUCACGACUGAAAAUCCUUUGCAAAAAGUAUAGCCCUGAUAGUUCAAACUUUUACUUCAAGGAUGAUUUAAUUACUGAUUAGUUUGCCAUGAGGCUUGUGAAUGACAAACACUUUAUGUGCAACCACAGUAACAAGGUAAGCACCAAUAAGUAGAAGACUAGACGAAUAGGUAACCAAGAGUUAGAGCUAAAACAGACAAACAGAGCUACUAUCCAAUGAGCUAAAACAUACAAACAGAGGUAUAUUUUAAUAAUGAAAAUAAUCGAUUGCCUUAAACACCAUAUAGUGUUCCAAUCAAUCAAAUUAUAGCAGGCAUUAAAACCUUUCCCUUUCGUUAAUUCACAACUAUUAGCUUCAUUAAUCAAAUCCUAUGUACAGUUGAUCGAUUGAAAGUGUAACAUUUCAAAGACGAAAUUUAAACGCAAAACUGGUUAACAUUGAAAUUACAUGUAAAUAUAACCUAAAAAAUCAAAAAAUUAAUCAUAUUUUCAGAUUUCAGGCCGAAAUGGAAUGAAAUGAAAGGUAAAUCCAUUUUUUCCCCAAAAAAACAAAAAUAAAGAAAUAAUAUUUCAAGAACAGAUCAUUAAAUUCAUGGUAUAUAUAAAGAAAUUUAAUUGAAAUCAAAGGAAUAGAAGAAGGGAAAAGCGUACUUGGAACCAUUGCUGCUACUCUCUGUUACUCUGUUACCUCAUACGAUUCGUUAAAGGGUUGUUAGGGUUUGUUAAAAGGUUGGUCAGGAUAGAAGCAUGAAAAGGAGGGAGAAGGUUGGAAGGAAAUGGGAAGAAAAAUGAAAAAAAGAAGAAGAUGCUGCAACGGCUUGGAGGGUAAAAGAGGACCGAUUAGGUAAUCCUUUCUUUUGGAAGGGAUUACAAAUCGGCGCUGCAUAAGGGAAAAUGGGGAAUCAGUGCGCUGCGUAAUAGGCCCGUAUUAAGGCAAUACAGCCAACCAAACAUGGUAAUCAGUGGGGCCACGAAUUAGGGGUGUAUUGGCUAAUCCAAUACACCCAACCAAACAUGCUCUAAAGGACAAAAAAAUUUGAUUUUUUAAAUAUUAUUUUCUCUCUAUUUUGCUAUCAUUUUACUAUUAUGUUGCUACUAUGUUAUUGUUAUUUUUGAAUAUUGUAUAAAACUUAUUUUAUUGUUAAUUUUGUUAUUAUUUUAAAGACAUUUGUUAAUUUUGUUAUUAUUUUAGAGACAUUUGUUUGUUAAGUUGCAUCUAUCUUAGUGUUAUUUAAGUAUACAUAUUUUUUAAAAUUUAUUUUCAAUUUAUUGGGAAAUAUUUAUUUUGAUGUUUUUAGUAUUUUGGAUGUAUUAUAUAUAUUAAAAUUAUAUAAAAAUUAAUAUGGCCGAGCCAGGUCAGGCCCAGAUUUUAGCAUUUUUAUUCAGGUCGGGCUUGAGCAAAAUUUUAAGCCCAUUUUUUGGGCCAAACCAGGCCUGGGCUUAGCAAAUGGGCCUAAAUUUUUAGUCAAGCUCGACCUAAACCCGAUCCGGCCCAUGCUCACCUCUAGAUCAGAGCUGCCCUCGCUUUGCAUUUCUUUGAGAUUCAGUCUUAUCUACUGUUGAUUGCCCACUCAAUGGAGGGUUGAGUAGAAAGAUUUGGUGAAGCAAGCUAAGCUAUCAAUCAAGGUUGGAGAAAGCUUAGGAGGUCACAAUGCAUAAUUAUUUAAAUGUAAUUCUAAUAUUUAAAUAAAAUUUAUUAAUAUAGUAUUAACAAGCCCUAAAUGUAAUGAUUAUAUACUAUUACAUUUUUAAGAAGAGAAAACAUGUUUGAACCUUAAAAACAUCAUUAUUAAAAAUGAUAAUUACAAAUUUUAAAAUAUAAAAAAUAUAAUUAAAAAUUAAUUUUAAACCCGAGCUGGAUAAAAUUCUAAUUUUAGAUAACGAUACUAAUAAGAAAUCAAUAUUAAAAUGAAAAUGAAAAGUAAUUUAAUAUAAUUUUUGAGUCUUGGGCAAAGGCACUCAAUGAAUGCUUGGAAAGAAAUAAUGCAACUUGGUGAUAGCUUUUGUUGGAGUAAUAUGCUCUUAUUAUAGUUUUAUGUUUUUAUCUUGCAAAAACAACAUAUUGGAGUUUUCGGCAUGAUUUUUUCUUAAUACUUUACAUGAAAAAUAAUAAUGGGACUUAAAUUGCUACAAUAUUACAACACAAAGUUACAAUAAGAGCUUAUAACUCAACAAAGGCUAUCAAUAAAUAAUCUCAGGCAAGCUAAAGAGAAAUGUUGAGAAUACCACCCGAAUAGUGACUGACUUUAAAAGUUGAAAACCCGAAGCUAUAUUAUCUCAAACGAAAUCAAACCAUAAACAUUAAAAUUUUCAAGUCUACUAGUUACUGUAAAAAAUUCAGCUCCAACAGACACCAAAUGAGCCUUUGAUCGAAGAAAGUACGAAAAAUAGUCUAGGUAAACCAAGCUUCCAAACUUACUUAUCUUAUCUUUAAUUUGCAGUGAAAUUCAAAAUUAAGAUUUUGUUUAUUUCACUUGGAACAACUUUCAAAAAAUUAUUUUUGAAAAAUGAAUUGGUUUUUCGAAAUAGAUGAUAUUUUAUUGUGUCAAAAUUUUAUUCAUUGUAGGAAAACUUUUUUUAAAUCAUUUUCUUAGAGUUAUUUUUAGUUAAAUAAACAUAACAUAAAUAUAUUUGUUACAAAAAAUUAUACUAGUAUUUUCUUUUGACAAUUAAAAUUUAUUUUAUGGUAAGACAAUAUUUUAUAAUAAUUAAUAUCAUAUAUAUACGUAAUAAAAAUCAUGUUUAAUUAAAAUUUAAUUAAAAUUAGAUGUAUUAAUAAAGCUACUCCUCCACAACCCGCAUCCGCAACAGCACCAGCACCAGCACCAGCACCAGCAUCAGCACCAUGGGACAACUAUUGGGUUUCCUCCACCUGCCUCUAUCGCUCCUCCUCAGUAUUACCCCCAAGCCUACCAGACCGUGCCGGGUAUUCUACAAAUAUGAAAAAACCUUCUUCUCUUUUUAUUAGCUUAUCGAAAUGAAGGAUUUUGAGAUUUGGGCUUUUGUUAGAUGGAUGGUUAAUGAUAUUUUUUAGAUGAAAGAUACAAGUUUUUUAAUGUUUUAGAAGAAAAGGUGUUUAAAUAUUAGGAGUUUUUUAGCAGAGAAAGAAGAUAAAUAAAUGCAUAGAGAUACAUUAGCAAUAUUAUUUGGAUUUGGUUGUCUAAUGUAAUGAAGAAUUUUUUAAGGGUGACCUGAGUAGGUGUGGCAAGAUUCAAAGUUUUUUCUAUUAUAGCAGAUAUAUAUAUAUUAAUGGUUUAAGAAGACUAGAAGUCGGUUUCAAAGGAAGAUGAGAAAUAAAAGCAUUUAUAUAUAUGAUAUGUCAUUAAUUCAUAAACCAAAUAUAUAAAGUAUGUAAAAGUGUCAGGGGUUAAUCAUGGUGUUUUGACAAUCCGGUAACCUUCAACUUGAAGAAAACCUUAGGUUUCAAAAAUUUAUGUGAAGAGUUAGAAUGGUAUGCUUCAUGGAUCUGAAUAACUAGAACAGUGUAAGAGUGGUAUAUUGUGUCAAGUUUGGUUUCUUGUAUAUAAUUGUAUCGAAAACAAUGUUACAUGAGUUAAAAUGAAUGUUCAUCCAAUUUAACAAAGCCUGCAUUAUGUUGAUCAAAAUUUUUAAUUCAUGUUGAGGUUUCUUCCGUGAUAUCUUUGAUGUCAAGGUUAUGAUGUUGCUGAAGGGACACCUGUAAGAGAUAAGCCACCGUGCUGUGGCAUUGGAUUCGGAUGGUUCUUGUAAGUGUACAUAGUUUUCUUUGUUUUUAAAGAGUUCUUUACAUAUGAAGUAAAACAAGUAGCGACUUGAUGGAUAUGUCAUUAAGCUUUAACUUAAGCAAAUCAUUUUCCUUCAUCUCUAAUUGCCAUUUCUUUAAAAGAAAAAGAGGAAGUUUUGUAGUUUACAGUUUGGACAAAUGGAAGUUAAUAUAAUGCACUAUUUGGAUGGACUAUGGAGAUAUCCAAUCAUAUUGGAUGAGUUAUAAGAAACCUGUGAGUUCAUAUUGGGUUUACUUUAUAUCAUAAUUAGAUUGUUGAGCUGGCUGUCAUACUUAGAUGGUAUUUCACGUUGCUACUUGUUAAACUAUACCACUUUCACAUUCAUACGUGAAAUGGCUGGGAUUUAGUGCCAUUCUACUUAGCAGCCUCGUGUAAUACACAGGUGAAAUGUUUAUGUCUUCAUGUCACCUUAAAGUUCCCAUUUCCAUGACGGUAUUGUUAAGUAAAGACUGGUACAUACCCCAAAAUACGGAAAUUGUUUUGGAUGUAUACUAUACUUUACCAUGCAUGAUUUUUUACAAGUUUGCAUGGUAUUUUAUCAUUAUAUUGGUCUUUAUUUUCUAUACUCGCAGCUUCCAUUAAUAUAUUUUUAUGAAUUUUAUCAUUAUGCUGGUUUGAAGGUUCAUCAUUGGUUUCUUCAUUGGGGGCCAUCCCUGGUAUAUUGGAUUCUUUGUUUUACUUUGUGCAAGGAUAGACGACAGAGAGAAAGCAGGAUAUAUUGCAUGCACAAUUGCCGUGAGUAUCUUUUCUAUCAUUAUUUUUUUCUUUUCCAAUUUUAUGAAAGCCAUCCUUCCUGCCUUGUAUUGAUCAUCAAUUUAACCAUUAUAUAUAUGUAUCUUAUGUAUUUGUACCAUGCUUUAUCUUCAAUGCAAAUAUAAGUUAAACUACAAAGAUUGGAUUGUUAAAAAAAGUUUAAAAUGUUAAAAAAAUUGAAAAUUUUGAUUUUGUAAGAAUGAUAGAAAACCAAGGCCAGUGCUUGCAUAUGUUAUCUACUACAUGCACAAUCGGGUCGAUGUCUGUAUAUGUUUCAUGUUUAGAAAUCGUGUUCAAUUGGGUUACGAUAUGUACAAUUGAAGUGUCAAUUUAUAAUUUCCUUAUCAAGAUUACACAUUUUUUUGUUAAUAUUCGGAAUCACUCAAUGGUUAUAAACCCUGAUUGGAUACUGUCCACAAAGUCUAGUUGGAACAUCCCUUGUAUUCUUUGUCCUUUCUAAGAACUUUCCUUUCCAUCAUUCUCGCUUCUGUUUUUUUUUUCUUCCCUCUACUUUAAGUCAUUAUCUAACGUAGAUAUCCCUUGUAUUCUUUGUCCUUUCUAUGGCAAUCGAGUCAAUUGAUGGCAAGCCAAAAAAACAAAAAGAGCAGCUAUCCUGUCUUACUCGAUUGCCAUCCCUCCUGUUAAACACCAUUAAGAAAAGGAAAAUUUUAGUUAAGCUUUAAAACAGCCAUGUUUUAACGAUGUUGGUGAUGGUGCUUGUGCAGGCCCUUCUUGCUACAAUUACAAUUAUUCUUAGUGCAACAAUUAAAGCUGGUGGGUGAUAAAGCACACCUCUUUUGACUGAGAGAUGUAUAGGUUCCCAAAUAAUAUGUAUAUGCUCCCCCCCCUCCCUUUAUUUUAUUUUAUUUCCAGUAAGUUAUUGUUUAUGAUAAUUUGCAACAAAUGUUUUUGUCAUUAUUUUGUUGGUGAAUGAUAAUAAGAUUAAGCUUUACUUUCUUAAGCUCCAAUUCCUUGGACGUUGGUGAUUUUUUUAUUAUAGUUGAGUCAUUGUAUGGUAUUAAUAUAAUUUAUGUCGCUUAAAAUUUAUAACUAAAAAUAUAAAAUUUAAAUUUUACUUCAAUUUAUUUGUAUUUAUAAAUGGUUAAUUCAAACUUAUUUUUUUCCUCAUUAUAUUUUAUAUUUAAAUUAACAUUUAAACUAUUUUUCAUUAGCAAUGUUGUUAAGAAUUAUAUUUUUUAGCACCAACAUCAAACUUACUAAAAUUAAAUUUUUAACUAUUUAAAAAAAAUAUUUUUAGCUAUUUAUCAUCAUAGAGAAAAAAAGGUGACGUCACCACGCCUCAUGCUUCGACACCACAAACUAGACUCUCAUCACCCGUAUUUAUCAUCGAUUCAAAUUCCAGAACUACCUAAAAAUAUAUCUUCAAACUUCCUCUGGUUAAGUUCAUUGAUAGUCAACUUACUAUCAUUUCUAAAAAAAAAACAAAUAAAUUGGUUAAUAGUAAUCUCAAUGAUUCAAUUUUAUUCUUACCAGUAUCUGUCCUUUAGAAAGGGGCUUAUAAAAGGGGUAGAGGUGAGUAAACUUGAGCUUCAGCUUUCCACAAACACCUUAAUUUGAAGACACAGUUCUCUCAUACUAAAAAAGACAUGGAAGUUUACCUUGUAAUUAGAGAUUUGGUUUCAUUGCUUGUUGUUGGGUUAUUAAUGAUAUGGGGAUGCAGAACUUUAAACUGGGUAUGGCUGGCCCCAAAAAGGCUCGAAAGCUGCUUGAGACAACAGGGUUUUGCAGGGAAUCCUUACAGGUUCCUUUCUGGUGACAUAAAAGAGCUCUCAACUAUGAGCAGACAAACAAGAGCCAAACCUAUGCCUCUUAGUGAUGAUAUUGGGCCUUAUGUUGUUCCUUUUCAACAUCAAACUGCUAACCAGUAUGGUAUGUUUUUUUUGUUUAAUCUGCAAUUUAUGAUAAUUCUUUGUUAUUUAUGUAUGGAAUUUAUUGGGAGGAAAUGCAGGAAAGAAUUCAUUUACGUGGUUUGGUCCAAGACCAAGGGUGAACAUUACGGACCCUGAAAAAAUAAGAGAAAUACUUAACAAAUUUAAUGACUUCCAGAAGAUACAUACCAAUCCACUGCUUAAUUUGCUUGUAAGCGGCCUUGCUAACCUCGACGGAGACCGAUGGAGCAAGCGUAGAAAAAUCAUAAACCCUGCAUUUCAUCAAGAUAAGUUGAAGGUAUAGAAUAGUGAUGGGUAAUCAGACUUUACAGAAAACAUCAUACUUAAACCUAUGCUUUUCUGAUUUAGAAAUAAUUGGAUGCAGAAUAUGUUGCCAGCAUUUUAUCAAAGUUGUAGUGACAUGUUAAGCAAAUGGGAGAAGAUGGUGUGUACAAAAGGAUACAGUGAGUUAGAUGUGUGGCCUUAUCUCGUAGAUUUGACAAGAGAUGUGAUUUCCCGAUCUGCUUUUGGAAGCAGCUUCGAAGAAGGCAAACGAAUUUUCCAAUUACUAGAGGACCAACUCGUUCACAUAAUCAAAUUAAUACAAACUGUUUACAUUCCAGGAUGGAGGUAACCGUCAACUUAAUUUACUUGAAAAAGGUUGCAAAUGUUGGAAUUCGCUAAAUUCGUGUUUGUUUUCUUGAAGGUUUUUGCCAACGAAGACAAACAGGGAGAUGAAGAUGAAACACAGGGACAUAAAAGAGUUGCUUAUGGAAAUGAUAAAGAGAAGGGAGAAGGCAAUUAAAGCAGGGGAAGAGAGCAAUGAGGACUUGUUGGACAUACUUGUGGAAUCCAAUAUCAGAGAAAUGGAAGCAAAGAAUAUUGGGAUGAGCAUUGAGGAUGUGAUUGAGGAAUGCAAGCUGUUUUACUUAGCUGGCCAAGAGACCACUUCGGUCUUACUGGUGUGGACUAUGGUUUUAUUAGCAAGGUAUCCCGAUUGGCAAAGUAAAGCAAGAGAGGAGGUUUUGCAUGUUUUGGGUGACAGUAAACCUGACGCUGAUGGCCUUAAUCGUCUCAAAGUUGUAAGUCCCUAGCAUGUCUUUUGAAGGUCCGAUCAAUGAGGUCGACAACUCAAAAACUUUGUUUCUUUUUUCGCUAAUUCUACAGGUAACAAUGAUAUUGUACGAGGUUCUAAGGCUGUACCCACCGGUGGUUGAGCUAGAACGUUCCGUUCCAAAAGAAAUAAAACUGGGGAAUUUGUUGUUACCAGUAGGAACAGAAGUUUCGGUUCCGAUCCUGCUGAUCCACCAUGACAAAGAUCUUUGGGGCGAUGACGCACGGGAAUUUAAGCCAGAGCGGUUCGCGGAAGGGGUUUCCAAAGCAACAAAGAGUCAAGUCACGUUUCUGCCAUUCGGAUGGGGUCCUAGGAUCUGUAUUGGCCAAAAUUUUGCUAUGAUGGAAGCCAAAAUGGCGAUGGCUAUGAUUCUCCAACGCUUCUGGUUCGAGCUUUCCCCUUCCUAUGCUCACUCUCCUUACGGCAGGGCAACUCUUCGUCCACAGCAUGGUGCACAGAUAAUUUUACAUAAACUUGGCUGUAAUUGAAUUGUUAUGUAAACAAAUCUUUGUGAAAACAUAGCGUUUUAGUUUAUCGUCAAAGUCCGGUGUCUGUAAUGGUACAAAUUCGAUGCAUGAAUAGUAAAGUUUGAGAUGUUUGGUGAAGUCCGAAAUAAUAUGCAGAAAUUGAGUGUGGUAAUUAUCAAUCAAAUAAUUCGGUACAAAGACUUACAUGGAAAUUAAAGCAGGGGGAGUUGAAAAUGACUACUCUGCUUUGGGCAUCAAUUUAGAAAGAUUUAAAGUACAAAUGUGUUAUUAGUUAAGGGAUUUGUUUUAAAGAGGGAAUGACAAUUAAACCUCAUGGUUGAUUUGUGGAAGGGAACCGAUGAUGGGAUGAUUAUUCUUAGUGGUAAAAAAAACUAUUGUGGAGGUUAUUAUACUUGUUAUCAUCGGCUUAAAAUUCGAAUGGGUUCAAGUCGGAUUAUAUCGAGCUUGUAAGAUGAGUUCACGGAUCAAAUUUGCAUAAUAAAAAUACUUAAAUGAAAAAAAUUUCUAUUUUAGAGGGACCAGAGCCCCUACCAAUUCCCGGCUCAGCUACUAAACAAUACCCAUAUCAUAUAAAUAAAUACCACCAUAAAAAAAACUCAAAGAAAAACACUGACAAAUGAUAAAUAGAUAGAUGUUGGAUAAGUGUCCAAAAUAUGAUUUAAGUGAAGAUACAUGGGGUAGGUGUCACGGAAAUGUGAAUACAAGAAUACUACUAAUGGGAUGUGUACAGUUGAAUGUAGGGAGCAAAAAGAGGAGUGAAUCAUUUUGGUAACAUUGGGACAAGAAACAUAAUGAACAAAAUGGAAGGAGAGGAAGCUAGUAAAAGAAAUUUUUUGGGUCAUAUAAUUUGUUUGGCAUAUAUUUUUAUAAUUUUUAAAUAUCAUUUUGGACUUGAAUUAUAAUUUUUUUAUAUAUUAUCUUAAAAUUGUAUAAAUUUUAAGGAGUUAAAACAAAAUUAUUCUAUUUUUAGAUGGUUAAAGUAGAGAUGAUAAUGGGUUGAGCUAUUCGGCCCAGCCUGACGAUCCACCCGAAAAAUAGGAAGGUUUGGGUAAAAAUAUAGGCUUGAAAUAUGAAUUUGAGCAAAAAAAGAGGCCCGUUUAGAAAAUGGGCCGAGCCUCGGGUAAAACCUUUUGGGUCUAGACCUGACCUAAAUUAUAUAUUAAAUAUAUAUAUUUUUAUUUUUAAUCAAAUAUACUUUUGUUUUAUUAUUAAUUUGGUUAUUAUUUUAGUUCUAAUUUGUUUCAAUUUUAAUAUAACUACUUUUUAUUAUAUUUUCAAUUUGUGCAUUGUUUUAAGAAUUAUUUUAGUCUCAUUAUUUAUUUAUUUUUUAUUUUAAUAUUUGUUUUAAAAUUUUUUAUUUAUUGAAAUAAGCUAAAAAAAUUAAUAUGGGUUGGACCAGACCGGGCUCGGGCCUAGUAAUUUUCUUUUGGGCCGGACUUAAACAAAUUUUUAAGCCCAUAUUUUGAAUUGGGUCCUACACUAGAAAAUGGACCUAAAAUUUUGUAUUACCUUUAGGUCAGAGCUAUCCUCGUUUUGCAUUUCUUUGAGAUUCAGCCUUAUUUACUUUUGAUUGCCCACUCAAUAGAGGGUUGAGUAGAAAUAUUUGGUGAAGCAAGCUAAGCUAUCAAUCAAGGUGUGCAUAAUUAUUUAAAUGUAAUUCUAAUAUUAAAAUAAAAUUUUUAUUAAUAUAGUAUCAACAAGCAUUAAAUGUAAUCAUCAUAUACUAUUAAAUUUUCAAUAAGAGAAAACAAGCUUGAACUUUAAAAACGAUGUUACUAAAAACAUUAUCACAAAUCUUGAAAUAUAAAAAAUACUUUUUAAUAUAAUAAAAAAAUAAUUUUAAAACCGAGAUGAAUAAAAUUCUAAUUUUAAUUAAUGAUACCAACAACAAAUCAAUAUUUAAAUUAAAAUUUAUCUUAAUUUAAUAUAAUAAAAUUGGACUUGAAUAUUGAAUUUUUGAGUCUUGGGCAAAGUAGAGGUGCUCAUGGGCCGGGUUGGGUCGGGUUUGGGAAAAAUUUCGGCCCGCAUCCUAGGCUCGGGCUCGGCCCGACCCAAAUAUGGGCCUAAAAUUUUGUCUAGGCCUAGCCCGGCCCGGCCCAACUCAUUUUUUUUAAUAAACACCAAAAAUUUAUUUUGAAAAUAAAAAAAUAAAAAAAGUAUUUUAAAAAUAUUUUAAAAUUUUUAAAAAAUAUAUAUAUUUAUUAUAUAUUCGGGCCGGGCCAGGCCCGAGCCAAAAAAGUGGCGCCCAAGGCCCGGCCUGUUUUCUAAACGGGACUCAUUUUUUACCCAAACCCAUAUUUCGGGCCUAUAUUUCUACCCGAAUCUCUCAUAUUUAGGGCGAACCGUCGGGCCGGACCGGGCCGCCCGGCCAUGAACACCUCUAGGACAAAGUCACUCAAUGAAUGCAUGGAAAGAAAUAAUGCAACUUGGUGAUAGCUUUUGUUGGAGUUAUAUGCUUUUUUUUUACGUAGUGGAACUUUCGGUGGAUUUUCAAGUUUCAUGAACUUUAUACUCUAUGCUUUACGUGAAAAAAAAAAUUCAUUGGACUUAAAAGUCUACCAAAAGUUUCACUAAAAAAAAAACCAUUGCUACAAGAUUACAACAUAAAGUUACAAUAAGAGCUUAUAACUCAACAAAGGCUAUCAAUAAAUAAUCUCAAACAAAUUAAAGAGAAAUGUUGAGAGUACCACUCGAAUAGUGAUUAACUUUAAAAAUUGAAAACCCAAAGUUAUAAUAUCCCAAACGAAAUCAAACCAUAAACAUUAAAUUUUUCGAGUCUACUAGAUACUGCAAAAAAUUCAGCUCCAACAGACACCAAAUGAACCUAUGAUCGAAGAAAAUACGAAAACUAGUCUAGCUAAAUCAAGCUGCCAAACUUACUUUUUAUCUUAUCUUUAAUUUGCUGUGAAAUUCAAAACUAAGGUUUUGUACUUAGAACAACUUUCAAAAAGUUAAUUUUGAAAAAUGGAUUGAAUUUUCAAAAUAGAUGAUAUUUUAUUGUGUUAAAAUUUUAUUCGUUGUUUGAAAAAAAAUUUAAAUCAUUUUCUUAGAAUUAUUUUUAGUGAAACAAACAUAUCAUAAAUAUAUUUGUUAUAAAAUAUUUAUAUUAAUAUUUUCUUUUAACAAUUAAAAUAUAUUUUGUGAUAAGGUAUAUUUUAUAAUAAUUAAUAUCAUAUAUACUUAAUAAUAAAUCAUGUCUAAUUAAAAUUUAAUUUCAAUUAAAUAUAUUAAUAAAGCUACAUAUAAUCAUAUUUUAUAUAAUAAAAAUAUUAAUAUAAAUAUUUUUUUAAUAAUAUAUUAAAGAAUAUUUAAAAUUUAAAUUUAUUAUUACUAAGAUUAAUUAUUAAAAUAAAAAUGUAAUGUUAAAUAAUUUAUCCAAUGAUAAGUUAUAUUAAUAAUUUAUUAUAUUAUUAAAUAUAAAUAAUUAAAUAUGUAUGUUUAAUAAUAUUAUGUUAUAAUAUUUAUUAUUAAUAUUUUAAUAUUUUUAAACAACCAUGUUUUAAAGAUGGUGGUGAUGGUGAUGGUGCAGGCCCCCUUGUUACAAUUACAAUAUUUUUAAGUGGGAUGCAUGUAAUAUAUUGUUAGGGUUUUAGAGUGUGUGGUCUUUAAAAGGGUUAAAUUAUAUAUUUAUAUAAUAUGAUUAUUGUUUAUAAAUAUAAUAUUGUAGAUAAACUUUUAUGCAUGUCAAUAUGUAUCCUACUCUGGGGUUAAUAUGUAUUUUUAGAUAUGGAUUCACCUAUAUAAUAGUAUGAAUCCAUCAUGCGGUCUCAUGAAAUAUACAAACACAUAUCGUGCGAACACAAAGUACGAACAAUAAAAAGUACAAAUCAAGACCAAUUGAGUAAUUGAAUAGCAGAUAGGUAAUAAUGACUAUCCCCUCUUGUUUGAAUUUAUUUUAUUUCCAGUGAGUUAUCGUUUAUGAUAAAUUUACAACAAAUGUUUUUAUCAUUAUUUUGUUGGUAAAUGAUAAUAAGAUUAAACUUUACUUUCUUAAGCUCCUUCAAUUCUUUGGACGUUAGCAAGUAAACUUGAGCUUCAGCAUUCCACAAACACCUUAAUUUGAAGACACAGUUCUCCCAUACUAAAAACAACAUGGACGUUUACCUUGUAAUUAGAGAUUUGGGCUCAUUGUUAGGUUAUUAAUGAUACGGGGAUGGAGAGCUUUAAACUGGGUAUGGCUGGCCCCAAAGAGGCUCGAAACGUGCUUGAGACUAGAGGUCCAGGCAAAUUUUUAGGCCCAUUUUUUAGGCCUGGACUGGGCCCGACUCGAAAUAUGAGCUUAAAAAUUUGUCUAAGUUCGGUCCAAAAGAAAAUUGUUAAGCCUAAGCCCGGCCCAUAUUAAAUUUUACAACACCAAAAAACUAUAUAUUUAAUAUAUAUAUUUGAUUAAAAAGUAUAUUUAAUUAAAAAUAAAAAUAUAUAUUUAAUAUAUAAUUCGGGCCGGGCCGAACUCGGGCCAAAAAAGUUUUACUCGGGGCUGGUCCGUUUUCUAAACAGACCUCGUUUUUUUGUCAAAAUCCAUAUUUUAGGCUUAUAUUUUUACCCGAAACUUCCUAUUUUUCGGGUGAACCGUCAGGCCGGACUAGGUAGCCCAACCAAUGAUCACCUCUACUUGAGACAACAGGGUUUUGCAGGGAAUUCUUACAGGUUCGUUUCUGGCGACAUAAAAGAGCUCUUCACUAUAAGCAUACAAACAAGAGCCAAACCUAUGCCUCUUAGUGAUGAUAUUGGGCCUUAUGUUGUUCCUUUUCAACAUCAAACCGUCAAUCAGUAUGGUAUGUUUUUUAAUUUAAUCUGCAAUUUAUGAUAAUUCUUUGCUAUUUAUGUAUGGAAUUUAUUGGGAGGAAAUGCUGGGAAGAAUUCAUUUACGUGGAUUGGUCCAAGAUCAAGGGUGAACAUUACGGACCCGGAAAAAUAAGAGAAAUACUUAACAAAUUUAAUGACUUCCAGAAGGUACGUACCAAUCCACUGCUUAAUUUGCUUGUAAGCGGCCUUGUUAACCUCGAAGGAGACCGAUGGAGCAAGCAUAGAAAAAUCAUAACCCUUCAUUUCAUCAAGAUAAGUUGAAGGUAUAGAAUAGUGAUGGGUACUUAGACUUAAUUUACAGAAAACAUCAUACUUAAAUCUAUGCUUUUCUGAUUUAGAAAUGAUUGGAUGCAGAAUAUGUUGCCAGCAUUUUAUCAAAGUUGUUGUGACAUGUUAAGCAAAUGGGAGAAGAUGGUGUGUACAGAAGGAUACAGUGAGUUAGAUGUGUGGCCUUAUCUUGUAGAUUUGACAAGAGAUGUGAUUUCCCGAUCUGCUUUUGGAAGCAGCUUCGAAGAAGGCAGACGAAUUUUCCAAUUACUAGAGGACCAACUCGUUCUCACAAUCAAAUUAAUACAAACUGUUUACAUUCCAGGAUGGAGGUAACCCUCAACUUAAUUUACUUGAAAAAGGUUGCAAAUGUUGGAAUUGGCUAAAUUCGUGUUUGUUUUCUUGAAGGUUUUUGCCAACAAAGACAAACAGGGAGAUGAAGAUGAAACACAGACAUAAAAGAGUCGCUUAGGGAAAUGAUAAAGAGAAGGGAGAAGGCAAUUAAAGCAGGGGAAGAGAGCAAUGAGGACUUGUUGGACAUACUUGUGGAAUCCAAUAUCAGAGAAAUGGAAGCAAAGAAAAAGGGGAUGAGCAUUGAGGAUGUGAUUGAGGAAUGCAAGCUGUUUUACUUUGCUGGCCAGGAGACCACUUCGGUCUUGCUGGUGUGGACUAUGGUUUUAUUAGCAAGGUAUCCCGAUUGGCAAAGUAAAGCAAGAGAGGAGGUUUUGCAUGUUUUGGGUGACAGUAAACCUGAUGCUGAUGGCCUUAAUCGUCUCAAAGUUGUAAGUCCCUAGCAUGUCUCUUGAAGGUCCGAUCUCUGAGGUCGACAACUCAAAAACUUGGUUUCUUUGUUUCGCUAAUUCUACAGUUAACAAUGAUAUUGUACGAGGUUCUAAGGCUGUACCCACCAGUGAUUGAGCUAGGACGUUCCGUUCCAAAAGAAAUAAAACUGGGAAAUUUGUUGUUACCAGCAGGAACAGACGUUUCGGUUCCAAUCCUGCAGAUCCACCAUGACAAAGAUCUUUAGGGCGACGACGCACGGGAAUUUAAGCCACAGCGGUUCACGGAAGGGGUUUCCUAAGCAACAAAGAGUCAAGUCACGUUUCUGCCAUUCGGAUGGGGUCCUAGGAUCUGCAUUGGCCAAAACUUUGCCAUGAUGGGAACCAAAAUGGCGAUGGCUAUGAUUCUCCAACGCUUCUGGUUCGAGCUUUCCUCUUCCUAUGCUUACUCUCCUUACAACAUGGCAACUCUUCGUCCACAGCAUGGUGCACAGAUAAUUUUACAAAAACUUGGCUGUAAUUGAAUUGUUAUGUAAACAAAUCUUUGUGAAAAUAUAGUGUUUUAGUGUAUCGUCAAAGUCUGCCUGUAAUGGUACAAUUCCGAUGCAUGAAUAGUAAAUCUUGAGAUGUUUGGUGAAGUCCGAAAUAAUAUGCAGAAAUUGAGUGUCUUGAAUGGAUGUAGUAUUUAAUGGUGGACAUAGUUGAGGGACUAAUGUGGUAAUUAUCAAACAAAUAAUUGCAUAUGGUACAAAGACUUGUAUGGAAAUUAGAGCAGGGCGAGUUGAAAAUUACUACUUUGCUUCGGGCAUCAAUUUAGAAAGAUUUAAAGUACAAAUGUAUUAUUAGUUUAAGGGAUUUGUUUUAAAGAAGGAAUGACAAUUAAACCUCAUGGUUGAUGUGUGGAAGGGAACCAAUGAUGGGAUGAUUACUCUUAGUGGUAAAAAAAAAAACUAUUAAGGUGGUUAUUAUAGUUGUUAUCACCGGCCCAAAAUUCGAAUAGGUUCAGGUCGGAUUAUAUUGAGCUUGUAGAUGAGUUUGCAUGAUAAUAGGUGUUCACAGAAAGAUAUCUAUAGUUUCCUACAAAGUCACAUGUGAGAUCGUGCAUUGGGACCGCAUAAAAAUGUUUUAUGUUUAGAAUAUGAUACGUGUCUAUGUGUAUGGAAUCUACCUAAUAUAUCAUAUUAAUUAAUAGUAUCAAUUGCGGAGCCAAAAAAUUAUUUCUGAGGGGUCAGAAUUAAAUUGUAUAUUUUUACAAAAAUAAAAAUUAAAUUUCACUAUUUUAAUAGUUUAUUUCUUUUUAAUUUUUAAAUGAUUAAAUUAAAUUUUUAUAAAUUUUUGGGAUCAAAGUACAAUUUUAUCAUUUCUAAUUUAAAAUUUUAUAAAAUAUAAAAAGUUUAUAUGAAAAGUUUUCUAUUUUAGAGUGGCCAAAGCCCCUGCCAACUUCCGACUCGAUCACUAAACAAUAUAAAUAAAUAAAUACCACCAUCUAAAAGACUCAAGAAAAACACUCAACGAUAAAUAGAUAGAUGUUGGGUAAAGAUACGUUUGGAUGGGCGGUGCGUUUACUUGCGGUUAGUAUAAAAAUAGCGGUGGCGGUUAGAUUAGAUACUAUAGCAACACUGUAGCGUAAGACAAAAAAUAAGCUAAACGUACUGCACUGCACUUAAUCGCCCAUCCAAACUCACCCUAAGUGUACAAAAUAUGAUUUAAGUGAAGAUACGUAGGGUAGGUGUCAUGGAAAUGUAAAAGACAAGAAUCCCACUAAUGUAUGGGAUGUGUACAGCUGAAUGUAGGGAGCAAAGAGGAGUGAAUCAUUUUGGUAACAUUUGGACAAGAAACAUAAUGAACAAAAUGAAAGGAGAGGAAGCUAGUAAAAGAUUUUUUUGAGUUAUAUAAUUUGUUUGGCAUAUAUUUUUAUAAUUUUUAAAUAUCAUUUUGGAGUUGAAUUAUAAUUUCUUUUUAUGUUUUAAAACAUAAUUAUUCUAUCUUCAAAGGGUUAGAGUAGAGGUGAGCAUGGGUCGGGCUACUCGGCCCGAAAUGUGAGAGAUUUGGGCAAAAAUAUAGGCUCAAAAAAUGGACUUGGACAAAAAAAUAUAAGACCCGUUGAAAAAUGGGCCGGGCAUUGGGUAAGGCAUUUUUGGCCCUGGGCCCGGCCCAAUCCUAAUUCACUAAAGGACAAAAAAAAUUUGAUUUUUAAAUAUUAUUUUCUUCCUAUUUUGCUACCAUUUUACUAUUAUGUUGCUACUAUUUUGUUGUUAUUUUUUGGAUAUUGUAUAAAACUUAUUUUAUUGUUAAUUUUGUUAUUAUUUUAAAGACAUUUGUUAAUUUUGUUAUUAUUUUAGAGACAUUUGCUUGUUAAGUUGUAUCUAUCUUAGUGUUAUUUAAGUGUACAUAUUUUUUAAAAUUUAUUUUCAAUUUAUUGGGAAAUAUUUAUUUUGAUGUUUUUAGUAUUUUGGAUGUAUUAUAUAUAUUAAAAUUAUAUAAAAAUUAAUAUGGCCGAGCCGAGUCAGGCCCAGAUUUUAGCAUUUUUAUUCAGGUCGGGCUUGAGCAAAAUUUUAAGCCCAUUUUUUGGGCCAAACCAGGCCUGGGCUUAGCAAAUGGGCCUAAAUUUUUAGUCAAGCCCGACCUAAACCCGAUCCGGCCCAUGCUCACCUCUAGAUCAGAGCUGCCCUCGCUUUGCAUUUCUUUGAGAUUCAGUCUUAUCUACUGUUGAUUGCCCACUCAAUGGAGGGUUGAGUAGAAAGAUUUGGUGAAGCAAGCUAAGCUAUCAAUCAAGGUUGGAGAAAGCUUAGGAGGUCACAAUGCAUAAUUAUUUAAAUGUAAUUCUAAUAUUUAAAUAAAAUUUAUUAAUAUAGUAUUAACAAGCCCUAAAUGUAAUGAGUAUAUACUAUUACAUUUUUAAGAAGAGAAAACAUGUUUGAACCUUAAAAACAUCAUUAUUAAAAAUGAUAAUUACAAAUUUUAAAAUAUAAAAAAUAUAAUUAAAAAUUAAUUUUAAACCCGAGCUGGAUAAAAUUCUAAUUUUAGAUAACGAUACUAAUAAGAAAUCAAUAUUAAAAUGAAAAUGAAAAGUAAUUUAAUAUAAUUUUUGAGUCUUGGGCAAAGGCACUCAAUGAAUGCUUGGAAAGAAAUAAUGCAACUUGGUGAUAGCUUUUGUUGGAGUAGUAUGCUCUUAUUAUAGUUUUAUGUUUUUAUCUUGCAAAAACAACAUAUUGGAGUUUUCGGCAUGAUUUUUUCUUAAUACUUUACAUGAAAAAUAAUAAUGGGACUUAAAAAUCUAUCAAAAGCUUCACCAUAAUAAUAAUAAUAAUAAUAAUAAUAAUAAAUUGCUACAAUAUUACAACACAAAGUUACAAUAAGAGCUUAUAACUCAACAAAGGUUAUCAAUAAAUAAUCUCAGGCAAGCUAAAGAGAAAUGUUGAGAAUACCACCCGAAUAGUGACUGACUUUAAAAGUUGAAAACCCGAAGCUAUAGUAUCUCAAACGAAAUCAAACCAUUAACAUUAAAAUUUUCAAGUCUACUAGCUACUGUAAAAAAUGCAGCUCCAACAUACACCAAAUGAGUCUUUGAUCGAAGAAAGUACAAAAACUAGUCUGGGUAAACCAAGCUGCCAAACUUACUUAUCUUAUCUUUAAUUUUGCAGUGAAAUUAAAAAUUAAGUUUUUGUUUAUUUCACUUGGAACAACUUUCAAAAAAUUAUUUUUGAAAAAUGGAUUGGUUUUUCGAAAUAGAUGAUAUUUUAUUGUGUUAAAAUUUUAUUCGUUGUUGGAAAACUUUUUUUAAAUCAUUUUCUUAAAGUUAUUUUUAGUGAAACAAACAUAACAUAAAUAUAUUUGUUACAAAAAAAUUAUAUUAGUAUUUUCUUUUGACAAUUAAAAUUUAUUUUAUGAUAAGACAAUAUUUUGUAAUAAUUAAUAUCAUAUAUAUAUACGUAAUAAAAAAAUCUUGUUUAAUUAAAAUUUAAUUAAAAUUAAAUAUAUUAAUAAAGCUACAUAUAAUCAUAUUUUUUAUAAUUAAAAUAUUAAUAUAAAUAUUUUUCAAUAAUAUAUUAAAAUAUUAAAAUUUAAAUUAUUAUUACUUAAAUUAAUUAUUAAAAUAAAAAAUUUAAUAUUAAAUAAUUUAUUCAAUGAUAAGUUUUAUUAAUAAUUUAUUGUAUUAUUAAAUAUAAUUAAUUAAAUAUGCAUAUUUAAUAAUAUUACGUUAUAAUAUUUUAAUAUUCUUAAACAGCCAUGUUUUUAAGAUGCUGGUGAUGGUGAUGCUGCGGGCCUCUCUUGUUACAAUUACUAUAAUUUUUUGUGCAAUAAUUGAAGUUGUUGGGUGGUCAAGCAAACCUCUUUUGACUGAGAUGCAUAUAAUAUACCCGCAUGUCCCCGCCUCCUAAAAUUUAAAUUUGUUAUUUGAAUCUUUAAAUUUUUUAAUAUAAUAUACCCGCAUGUCCCCGCCUCCUAAAAUUUAAAUUUGUUAUUUGAAUCUUUAAAUUUUUUAAAAAUUUUAAAUUCAUAAAAGUAAAAUUAUACUUUGACCCUCUAAAAUUAUAAAAAUUUAAUUAAUCUUUUAAAUUCAUUGGGCCCCUAAUAUAUUGUUCAGGCUUCACCCUUGAUACUGAUGUUGACUAUUUUAGAGUAUGUGUCUUCUUUAACAGGGUUAAAUUAUAUAUUUAUAUAAUAUAGUUAUUGUUUAUGGACGUGACAUCGUAACUAGGUUCUUAUGCAUGUCAACAUAUAUCCUAUUUUAAGGUUAACACGUAUUUUUAAAUGUGAAUUCACCUAUAUAAUGGUAUGAACCAUCAUGCAGUCUCAUAAAAUAUGCGAAUAUAUGUCGUGCGAACACAAAGUACAAUCCACACAGAAUACGAAUUAAGACCCAAUUGAAUAAUCGGAUACGAAUCAGUAAUAAUGAAUUUCAUAACAGCCACCAACCCCUCUUUUGUUUUAAUUUAUUUUAUUUCCAGUAAGUUAUUGUUUGUGAGAAUUCACAACAAAUGCUUUUGUCAUUAUUUUGUUGGUAAAUAAUAAUAAGAUUAAACUUUACUUUCUUAAGCUCCUUCAAUUCUUUGGAAGUUGGUGGUUUUUUAUUCUAAUCUUAUUUUUUUUAUUAAUUUCUUUUUUUAUAAUAAAUGUGUUUAUAGAUCAGGUUGGAUUAUAAUUGAAUCAUUGUCUGGUAUUAACAUAAUUUAAAUCGAUUAAAAUUUAUUCGACUGGAAAUAUAAAUUUAAAAUUUUACUUCAAUUUAUCUUAAUUUAUAAAUUGUGAAUUUAAAUUUAUUUAUUUUCUCUCAUUAUAUUCAGUUUUUCGGAUCAUAUUUGGCCCAGAACAAAAACUAGAACAAAAAAACAAAUAUAUAUGUUUUCCAAAAAUUAAAUUGUUAACUUUAAAAAAAUAUAUUUUUAGCUAUUUAUCAUCAUAGAGAAAAACAAAUAAGGUCACCUCGCCUUAUGCUUCAACACCUCAACCUAGAUUCUCAUCACCUGUAUUUAUCAUCGAUUCAGAUUUUUAUUUUUACUAUAUUCUAGAUCUACCUAUAAAUAUAUCUUCAAACUUCCUCUGGUUAAGUUCAUUCAUAGAUAGGUGAGUAAACUUGAGCUUCAGCUUCAACAAACACCUUAGUUUGCAAUUCUCUCAUACUAAAAAUAUGGAAGUUUACCAUGUAAUUAGAGAUUUGGUCUCAUUGCUUGUUGUUGGUUUAUUAAUGAUAUGGGGAUGGAGAGCUUUAAACUGGGUAUGGUUGGCCCCAAAGAGGCUCGAAAGGUGCUUGAGACAACAGGGUUUUGCAGGGAAUCCUUACAGGUUCCUUUCUGGUGACAUAAAAGAGCUCUUAACUAUGAGCAGACAAACAAGAGCCAAACCUAUGCCUCUUAGUGAUGAUAUUGGGCCUUAUGUUGCUCCUUUUCUUCAUCAAACUGUCAACCAGUAUGGUAUGUUUAAUUAUUAUUUAAUCUUCAAUUUAUGAUAAUUCUUUGUUAUUUAUGAAUGGAAUUUAUUGGGAGGAAAUGCAGGAAAGAAUUCAUUUACGUGGAUUGGUCCAAGACAAAGGGUGAACAUUAUGGACCCUGAAAAAAUAAGAGAAAUAUUUACCAAAUUUAAUGACUUCCAGAAGGUGCGUACCAAUCCACUGCUUACUUUGCUUGUAAGCGGCCUUGUUAACCUCGAAGGAGACCGAUGGAGCAAACAUAGAAAAAUCAUAAACCCUUCAUUUCAUCAAGAUAAGUUGAAGGUAUAGAAUAGUGAUGGGUA